CAAUAGUAUGGAUUUUGCAAAAUUGCAAGCUGCCAGAUUUCUCUAAGAAGCCAGCAAUAUUGAAAUGCUGCAAAUACAUCAAUCGAUAAUAUUCCAAAUUAUUGAACUGCCCAUUUUUCUGUGUCCCCUUCUUCUCCUCCCUCGGUCAGGACUCCAUUAUAAAUCAAAUCUGCUGCUGACUUAAUCAAUGGGGUUCAUAAGAAGCUGUAAUAACAGAACCUUCUCCAUUAACAAGAGUCAAUAGAAGAGAUCCAAUAUCAGCAUGAGGAAUGGAUCUUGCAGCAUAAAUAUUCUUAGCCGCUAAAAUGCUGUCCCGUGCAUUAGAAUAAAUUUUAAUAGAGUAAUGAGCUAUAGCAAAUCAUUUGCUACAGGUUAAUAAGUAGGUUGUGCAAUGGAUCAUCCACCAUAGAAAAGGCAAUCAACAACUGCAGAGGCUCUCCUGAGUAUUAGCCUGGCACAAAGGCUACCAAGGGCUACUAGAGUUUCCUUCAUUCAAGCAGCAUACAAAAUUGAUGAAUAAAUCAAUACUCAGUCUGAAUCGUGAGGAUUCCUGUAUAAAGGAAAGGAAGGAAAAAAAAUAAGAAGAAAUGACAAAAUCCCCCUGUAAACAGACAAGCCUCAGAAACUUUCCCAGAAAUUUAAUGGCAAAGAAGAAAAGACUCUGUCUUUAUUUAUGUGAUCUGGCACUACGGAGACAAGCAGAAAUAUGGCUAAGCUGCAUUUUACAGAGAUGUAAAAGGAAUGAACAUUAUCUUGCCGAAGAAUGAAAAGCUAAAAGAAAUGAGAACUGCUCCAAAUGUCACAUCUGGUACUUGCUGAUUGACCUUUUAGAGGGAUAAUUUAACCGAAGACACAUUGGGUAGCUACACUAGGUAGCUGUGGAUUUUCUCUUGAGCUUUUACAUCUUGUAUAAAAGAUAACACUCCUCUAAAAUUCAAGUAGUAAGGCAGGCACUUUCCUGUGUGUUGCAAUAUUCCUAUGUGCUAGAAAAAAAUAUGGAAUUUCAUAUACUGAAGGAUCUGGAAAAUGCCCUUGUUCUGCUGUUCAAAACUGGAAAAGCCUGAGCCAAUUCAUUAUCUCUGGCACCAGCUCAAGCAUUUGGCCAAGUUAUUUUUAAUUGUGUAUUAUAUGCUCUGUUGCCAGUGACUUCAUCCAUCAUAAGAAGAUGACUAGCAACUAUGGUUGAUAAUAUUAAAAUCUUCUACUGUCUGGUAGGAAGUGGCAUUUUAAAACAAUUUUUCUUCCUCUGAAACCUUUCUCUCCAAAUGUCCAUAUUACAAAACAUUUAUUUUUCUUUCCCUUCACCAUGAAAAAAACAAAGCUAUAUGAUUUUUUUUAUCCAGCUCAUCUCACUGUGUGAUAUUUGAUAAAUCAAACUGAAAGUUCCUUAAUUGUAAAUUGAACUAUAGUUUCCUCACACAAUAAUGUAGUAUGUGGUUUUAUUUGACUUAUCAGGUAGUGCACGGCUUGACCCAUGCUGUGAUCUUGUGAUGGCAACUAUAUCACAUCUUACACAGUGGUCAGAUUCAAAUAUAUAAACAACCGGUUCUCUGUGUGGAUGCCGCUUCCAGAAGUCCGUUCUGGGCCUGGGUAACAAAAAAUUAGCUACUGGUUCUGCAGAACUGAUGCGAACUGGCUGAAUCUCACCACUGAUCUUACACUUAAGAAUUCUAAAGAUUUGGAUUUUGCUAAUCCACUUGCAUCUAUUAGUUUGUCUGCCCACAGCACAAGUUAAUCAAGGAACUGUAUUUUCAUCUUUGAAAUAUCAGAGAAUGCUGUAUUUGCUUAUUAGAACUAGGUCUUACUCUUAAGCCAAGCAAUUCAUUUUAAAUCUGGAGCUAUUUCUUUUACCUCCCAAUCAUCACUUGACUUCCCAGCCUAAAAACUGAGAAGACAAGCCUUUGACAGAAUAUUUCUUCUUUCUUUUUUUCCAGUUCUCAU
Long non-coding RNA from Crotalus tigris (Tiger rattlesnake), 1941 nucleotides. RefSeq lists it as uncharacterized. The record is from RefSeq and is a predicted model, not a curated record. The transcript has 3 exons. NCBI's taxonomy places the organism in Eukaryota, Metazoa, Chordata, Lepidosauria, Squamata, Viperidae.